RNAcentral lists this ribosomal RNA (465 nucleotides) under Vreelandella stevensii. RNAcentral describes it as "partial 16S ribosomal RNA". It matches the Rfam family "Bacterial small subunit ribosomal RNA", at positions 338 to 795 of the family's 1533-position model. The record is from RNAcentral. Lineage: Bacteria; Pseudomonadati; Pseudomonadota; Gammaproteobacteria; Oceanospirillales; Halomonadaceae.
CCUACGGGCGGCAGCAGUGGGGAAUAUUGGACAAUGGGCGAAAGCCUGAUCCAGCCAUGCCGCGUGUGUGAAGAAGGCCUUCGGGUUGUAAAGCACUUUCAGUGGGGAAGAAAGCCUUGGGGCUAAUACCCUCGAGGAAGGACAUCACCCACAGAAGAAGCACCGGCUAACUCCGUGCCAGCAGCCGCGGUAAUACGGAGGGUGCGAGCAUUAAUCGGAAUUACUGGGCGUAAAGCGCGCGUAGGCGGUCUGAUAAGCCGGUUGUGAAAGCCCCGGGCUCAACCUGGGAACGGCAUCCGGAACUGUCAGGCUAGAGUGCAGGAGAGGAAGGUAGAAUUCCCGGUGUAGCGGUGAAAUGCGUAGAGAUCGGGAGGAAUACCAGUGGCGAAGGCGGCCUUCUGGACUGACACUGACGCUGAGGUGCGAAAGCGUGGGUAGCAAACAGGAUUAGAUACCCUAGUAGUC